RNAcentral lists this ribosomal RNA (520 nucleotides) under uncultured bacterium. RNAcentral describes it as "bacterial SSU rRNA". It matches the Rfam family "Bacterial small subunit ribosomal RNA", at positions 355 to 866 of the family's 1533-position model. The record is from RNAcentral.
UGGGGAAUAUUGGACAAUGGGGGCAACCCUGAUCCAGCGACGCCGCGUGUGUGAAGAAGGCCUGCGGGUUGUAAAGCACUUUUAGUGGGGAUGAAAAGCUCAGGGCUAAUACCUCUGGGUCUUGACCUAACCUACAGAAAAAGCACCGGCUAACUCUGUGCCAGCAGCCGCGGUAAUACAGAGGGUGCGAGCGUUAAUCGGAAUUACUGGGCGUAAAGCGUGCGUAGACGGUUUCGUAAGUCGGAUGUGAAAUCCCCGGGCUCAACCUGGGAAUUGCAUUCGAAACUGCAAGGCUAGGGUGCGGAAGAGGGAAGCGGAAUUUCCGGUGUAGCGGUGAAAUGCGUAGAUAUCGGAAGGAACAUCAGUGGCGAAGGCGGCGACCUGGACAGGCACUGACACUCAACUACGAAAGCGUGGGGAGCAAACAGGAUUAGAUACCCUGGUAGUCCACGCUGUAAACGAUGGGUACUAGGUUUGGCGGGUCUUGACCCCUGCCGAACCGGCGCUAACGCACUAAGUA